AGAUCAUCGUCCCCGGUGGGGCGGCUGGACUUCAAAUCCAGAUGGGGCCGCCAGCGGUCCUUGGCAGGUUCGACUCCUGUGAUCUUC
This 87-nucleotide transfer RNA is filed under the name Proteus mirabilis. Its description in RNAcentral is "Selenocysteine transfer RNA". It matches the Rfam family "Selenocysteine transfer RNA". Lineage: Bacteria; Pseudomonadati; Pseudomonadota; Gammaproteobacteria; Enterobacterales; Morganellaceae. The record is from RNAcentral.